This 646-nucleotide ribosomal RNA is filed under the name uncultured Bacteroidales bacterium. RNAcentral describes it as "bacterial SSU rRNA". It matches the Rfam family "Bacterial small subunit ribosomal RNA", at positions 74 to 715 of the family's 1533-position model. The record is from RNAcentral. Lineage: Bacteria; Pseudomonadati; Bacteroidota; Bacteroidia; Bacteroidales.
AAGUAGUAAAUACUUUGGUGGCGACCGGCGCACGGGUGAGUAACGCGUAUGCAACCCAUCUAUCAGAGGGGAAUAACCCGGCGAAAGUCGGACUAACACCGCAUAAAACAGGGACACCGCAUGGUGAUAUUUGUUAAAGAAAUUCGCUGAUAGAUGGGCAUGCGUUCCAUUAGGUAGUUGGUGAGGUAACGGCUCACCAAGCCGACGAUGGAUAGGGGAACUGAGAGGUUGGUCCCCCACACUGGUACUGAGACACGGACCAGACUCCUACGGGAGGCAGCAGUGAGGAAUAUUGGUCAAUGGGCGAGAGCCUGAACCAGCCAAGUCGCGUGAAGGAAGAAGGAUCUAUGGUUCGUAAACUUCUUUUGCAGGGGAAUAAAGUGCAGGACGUGUCCUGUUUUGUAUGUACCCUGAGAAUAAGGAUCGGCUAACUCCGUGCCAGCAGCCGCGGUAAUACGGAGGAUCCGAGCGUUAUCCGGAUUUAUUGGGUUUAAAGGGUGCGUAGGUGGUUUGAUAAGUCAGCGGUGAAAGUUUGCAGCUUAACUGUAAAAAUGCCGUUGAAACUGUCGGACUUGAGUGUAAAUGAGGUAGGCGGAAUGCGUGGUGUAGCGGUGAAAUGCUUAGAUAUCACGAAGAACUCCGAUUG